CAGCGACUUAUAUUCUGUAGCAAGGUUAACCGAAUAGGGGAGCCGGAGGGAAACCGAGUCUUAAUUGGGCGUUAAGUUGCAGGGUAUAGACCCGAAACCCGGUGAUCUAGCCAUGGGCAGGUUGAAGGUUGGGUAACACUAACUGGAGGACCGAACCGACUAAUGUUGAAAAAUUAGCGGAUGACCUGUGGCUGGGGGUGAAAGGCCAAUCAAACCGGGAGAUAGCUGGUUCUCCCCGAAAGCUAUUUAGGUAGCGCCUCGUGAAUUCAUCUCCGGGGGUAGAGCACUGUUUCGGCUAGGGGGCCAUCCCGGCUUACCAACCCGAUGCAAACUGCGAAUACCGGAGAAUGUUAUCACGGGAGACACACGGCGGGUGCUAACGUCCGUCGUGAAGAGGGAAACAACCCAGACCGCCAGCUAAGGUCCCAAAGUCAUGGUUAAGUGGGAAACGAUGUGGGAAGGCCCAGACAGCCAGGAUGUUGGCUUAGAAGCAGCCAUCAUUUAAAGAAAGCGUAAUAGCUCACUGGUCGAGUCGGCCUGCGCGGAAGAUGUAACGGGGCUAAACCAUGCACCGAAGCUGCGGCAGCGACACUGUGUGUUGUUGGGUAGGGGAGCGUUCUGUAAGCCUGUGAAGGUGUGUCGUGAGGCAUGCUGGAGGUAUCAGAAGUGCGAAUGCUGACAUAAGUAACGAUAAAGCGGGUGAAAAGCCCGCUCGCCGGAAGACCAAGGGUUCCUGUCCAACGUUAAUCGGGGCAGGGUGAGUCGACCCCUAAGGCGAGGCCGAAAGGCGUAGUCGAUGGGAAACGGGUUAAUAUUCCCGUACUUGGUGUUACUGCGAAGGGGGGACGGAGAAGGCUAUGUUGGCCGGGCGACGGUUGUCCCGGUUUAAGCGUGUAGGUGUGUGUUCCAGGUAAAUCCGGUUCACUUUAACACUGAGGCGUGACGACGAGGCACUACGGUGCUGAAGCAACAAAUGCCCUGCUUCCAGGAAAAGCCUCUAAGCAUCAGGUAACAUCAAAUCGUACCCCAAACCGACACAGGUGGUCAGGUAGAGAAUACCAAGGCGCUUGAGAGAACUCGGGUGAAGGAACUAGGCAAAAUGGUGCCGUAACUUCGGGAGAAGGCACGCUGACACGUAGGUGAAGUGAUUUACUCAUGGAGCUGAAGUCAGUCGAAGAUACCAGCUGGCUGCAACUGUUUAUUAAAAACACAGCACUGUGCAAACACGAAAGUGGACGUAUACGGUGUGACGCCUGCCCGGUGCCGGAAGGUUAAUUGAUGGGGUCAGCGCAAGCGAAGCUCCUGAUCGAAGCCCCGGUAAACGGCGGCCGUAACUAUAACGGUCCUAAGGUAGCGAAAUUCCUUGUCGGGUAAGUUCCGACCUGCACGAAUGGCGUAAUGAUGGCCAGGCUGUCUCCACCCGAGACUCAGUGAAAUUGAACUCGCUGUGAAGAUGCAGUGUACCCGCGGCAAGACGGAAAGACCCCGUGAACCUUUACUAUAGCUUGACACUGAACAUUGAGCCUUGAUGUGUAGGAUAGGUGGGAGGCUUUGAAGUGUGGACGCCAGUCUGCAUGGAGCCGACCUUGAAAUACCACCCUUUAAUGUUUGAUGUUCUAACGUGGACCCGUUACCCGGGUUGCGGACAGUGUCUGGUGGGUAGUUUGACUGGGGCGGUCUCCUCCUAAAGAGUAACGGAGGAGCACGAAGGUUGGCUAAUCCUGGUCGGACAUCAGGAGGUUAGUGCAAUGGCAUAAGCCAGCUUGACUGCGAGCGUGACGGCGCGAGCAGGUGCGAAAGCAGGUCAUAGUGAUCCGGUGGUUCUGAAUGGAAGGGCCAUCGCUCAACGGAUAAAAGGUACUCCGGGGAUAACAGGCUGAUACCGCCCAAGAGUUCAUAUCGACGGCGGUGUUUGGCACCUCGAUGUCGGCUCAUCACAUCCUGGGGCUGAAGUAGGUCCCAAGGGUAUGGCUGUUCGCCAUUUAAAGUGGUACGCGAGCUGGGUUUAGAACGUCGUGAGACAGUUCGGUCCCUAUCUGCCGUGGGCGCUGGAGAACUGAGGGGGGCUGCUCCUAGUACGAGAGGACCGGAGUGGACGCAUCACUGGUGUUCGGGUUGUCAUGCCAAUGGCACUGCCCGGUAGCUAAAUGCGGAAGAGAUAAGUGCUGAAAGCAUCUAAGCACGAAACUUGCCCCGA
Molecule: ribosomal RNA, 2197 nt
Filed under: Salmonella enterica
Lineage: Bacteria; Pseudomonadati; Pseudomonadota; Gammaproteobacteria; Enterobacterales; Enterobacteriaceae
Description: partial 23S ribosomal RNA
Rfam family: Bacterial large subunit ribosomal RNA
Source: RNAcentral